GGAGCAAGAGAGGCCACACUGUCCCUCUGUCAACCAGACGAGGUGUGGAAAGGGCAGGGAUCUCCUUUACACAUCUAUGUUGUGUCUGUGCACAAGCGUUUUCUUAUCCCAAGAUGCUCUAUGAGUCCCUUCCAGGUUACUCAAAAGUCAAGAAUCGGUAAGUAUGCAAACAUGACAGCUCUGCCGCUUUGCAGAUUUAUAGAGCUUAUCUAUUUUUUUCCUGAUAGAAAGGGUGGUUGGUGUUACCUGGACGAGAAGGGCAGUGCACUGAGCCUCAGAGAGGCUCAUGCAUGUCAGACCAGAGAGACGGAAGCUUGGACAGGCAGAGGGCACUGGGCUGAGAUGGGGCAGGAGUGCACCACAGCUGGACAGACCCGUGCAUGCAGGGGCAGAAUCCUUGCCUGCAGGGGUCUCCAUGUACGGUUAUUUGUUGUGAGCUAGCAAACUCAGCGAUGUAACAGGGAUGGACAGGAAAGGAAGAGGGAAGUGAGGGAGAGACACGGAGAUGAGCCCUGGGUUGGGGGAAAGAGAAGGCCAGCAGCCCUCCACGGGGCCCUACAAUCUGUCCUGCGUCCCCACAGUGAAGUGGUCAUUCAGCCUCAAAGUCAGCUUGGAUAAGGUGUCAGCCCAUGGGAGAAGAAUGAUUUGAGAUUUGUUUCCAUCUGUCUUUCCUAAGUCAGCAGGAGGGACCACCUUCUCCCACAAAGGUGAACUCAAGGGCACAGGACAUUUAGCUGGUUGAAUCGUUGCCCUUGCCUGAUUCUUGUUCAUACUAAUCACCUGAAUGUCCUGCAUGCCAUCCUCUCUUCCUCCCUGUGCGAGGGCCAUUUCGCCCCCAGGCAUCUGAAAGCCUUCAGCAUGGAUGUGGGUCCCUUCCUUGUUAGAUGCAGGGUGUGGGACACGUUGUCUAACUUGCCAUGCUUCUCAAUGAGCGAGGGCAUGGAACACCCAAGACUGGGACAUGGGUCAAGCCAUGAAAUCGGUGAUGAUUUUUAUGGCAACAAUAGGAAUUCCACAACCUCGGUGCCCCUCCCUGCAGGGCCCUGAGACGUCCAUCAUUGUCUGGACGAACAUGGCUUUCGCAGUGAGACGCAACCCAUCCUAACAGUGAUGCCACAGGAUAGUCCACCGCCCAAGGUCAAGUGCACACCCUGCACUCAGACGUAAUGGCAGUCAUUUGUAUUUGUGUAUUGCUCAAAACCCCACAGCUUCUAGACACAGGGUCACACAGGCAGGUGCCAAGACAUAAGCUGAAGUGUGGACUCCUGUUUUACAGGGGAAGAGGUCGAGGCCUUGAGAGGUCAACUGGUUUCCCUGCACAGGUCCAAACAGAUGGAAAGUAAGGGGUCAGAUGUGAGCUGGGUUUCCUAAUGACAACUCAACACAGUGAUGACCCCAAGGAAGAAGACCCUCUGCAGCAGUUACUGCACCUGCCUGUGAGCAGAACCAGGUGCUGAGAAGUUCAAACACAGGCUCCAAGGUGCCAGCUCUCAGGAGCUUGCCUGGGGCCCAAGACCACCUCCAAACACAUCAGGAGUUCAGAAGCCUGGGUUGGCCGUGGAGCCCCGGGAAGCUCUGGAGGGAAGCUUGGAAUGUCAACACCCCACUCACCGCCUGCCCUCCCUCCUGGGGCUUCUGACUUACUGACAAGCUAGUGAACAGGCUUUUGUACGAGCUGCGACACGUGCAGCCUCCCUGAUCCUCCAGCCUCUGCACUGCCCAUCUUGACUUGCCUCAGGUAUGGAGCCCACAAUUGGCACCAUUUUUCUCCUCUACCUUCAUGUUGACAGUUGCCCCCUUCAAUUCAGAAGAUGCAUCCUAAGAGUGAUCGCAGGGACACUUCUACACUGGUGACCACAGCUGACUGGAGGCAACCUGUUGACACUAGUACUCAAAGGAAUCUGUGAACACAAAGGAGAGAGGCUCGAAAUGCAACACGAGACUGACUGCCUUGGAGUCAGUUUGAUUCUGAUUCUCUCACUUAGGAUGCAAUACCCAGCACAGACCCUUCGGAUGACAGACUCCAAAGCCACUCUCAAACCCUCACUCUUGCUUUUUAGUUAUAGAGGACAGACAGCAAGAUACUCAUCUUUUUGACUUCCAUUGUGAUCAGUUAUAGCACUGUGACCUAAUUCAGGCCACUUAACAUUUAUGUGGAGGAUCCUACAGAAGGCAUCCCUUCAAGUAAGCACUCACAGGUUGUGGAGAAAUUUAUUUUAGCCUUCCUGUCUCCUGCCAAUAAUGUAGAUGUGAUGGCUGGAAGUGGAAUAGCCAUCUUAUAACCAUAGGGAAAAAAACAUAAAAACCACAGGCUACAGGUGUUGGGAAAAGAAGCGAGAAGGGGUCUAGGUUCUGCACGAACUCUGACCUCUGGAUUUAGUCCUGCAUGAGGAAAUAAAACCAUCAUUGUGUGUUCAUGACACCGACACGGGGAUCUUUAUUACUUGUAGCAGAAACAUUACCUGGUGAUAUAAACACUCCAGUAUGGGAAAAACCAUUUCCUUGGGUGAACUCUCUGUGGUCUGUCUGUACAGCAGUCCUCGUGGACCGUUUUCUCCUGCCGGCCGGGCCAGGGAAACACCCUCCCGACUUGGGCCUCCCCUGUCGGCAGAGAGCUGGCUAGAAGCAGGAAGAACCCAAGGUCUAACCCCAGAAACUCAGGUCAAACUCUGACUCUGGAAUCACAGGCUGUGGGACCCUGAGUGAUUUUUGAGACUGUUGGAGCUCCACCUUUAUUUUAAACAGUGUUACCUAAUACAUUUCUACAGAGACUGUUCCCAGCAUGUGCUAAUACAUUAAAAACCCUCAUCUUA
This is a long non-coding RNA of Marmota monax (woodchuck), 2813 nucleotides long. RefSeq lists it as uncharacterized. NCBI's taxonomy places the organism in Eukaryota, Metazoa, Chordata, Mammalia, Rodentia, Sciuridae. The record is from RefSeq and is a predicted model, not a curated record. The transcript is spliced from 3 exons.